ACACCCCUGGUUGCAUUCCCACAACCCUAUUGCAUCUGUGAUACAGAACACAAGGCAAAAGUAAAAAACUCAUCAGGGAAGGCUUCCGGGAGAGGCGUUUUCAGUAGGCUAAAGAAGAGAGGCACAGUAUUCGUUCAUGUAUGGCUGUGAGAGGGCACAGGGUCUCAGAUGAAAGAAUUCACACACCCUCCUGCCAAGACUCAGAAGCUGAACUGGGCAGCCACUGUAGCAUUGCAAAGCAAUGCCCUUGACUAAAGAUGAAAGAGCAGCUCCUGUUAUGCUCGGAUUCGGGACCUCCAAAAGACCACCACAGACCAAGAUCCAUAUGAGUCCUGGAAGGAGAAAAGCAAAUAGUGAAGCUCUGGGUAACCAUGGGUCCUGGAGGAAGGAAGAUAAGCAGUGAACACGGAGUUAUGAGCUUUUCCCAGUGACACUCAUUUUCAAACUUUUUACAACUGCUCUCUUGAGUUAAAAUUUGAACCUGCUAAGCUAGGUCCCUGACUGUCCAAACCGCACAUCUGCAGUCUCCAGUGAUUACUUUGCCCUCAUCGUAAACUAUAAAACCCAGACUCCUUCUGCAACCCGAGGGCCAUUUCCUAUACCUAGAAAAUGAGUCCUCCCAUGCCUCAUGAUUGACUUUGCUUACAGAAUAAAGGAAAGCUUGCUGACAGGAGGUCUGCUUCCUGUCUCCUGCCUCUGUCAUUUGUGGA
This is a long non-coding RNA of Urocitellus parryii (Arctic ground squirrel), 710 nucleotides long. RefSeq lists it as uncharacterized. The record is from RefSeq and is a predicted model, not a curated record. Lineage: Eukaryota; Metazoa; Chordata; Mammalia; Rodentia; Sciuridae.